AACUCAACCUCUGACGUGUGACGCACCGGAGCGCUCAGAGAGUAGGAAGGUAAUGUGAUAGCAUCGAAGGAUGUUGCUGUGAAGCAAUCUGGAGAUGUCACAUGUGCAGAUCUUGGUGGUAGUAGCAAGUACUCAAUUGAAAACCUUGAGCACUGAAGUUGGGGGUGGGUUCCAGGUGAUUAAGUUACUGGUACCCAUGGAAUGAAGUAAAUUUGAGAUAUGGGUAAGGGUGACAUAAAGCUGCUCAUAUUAGAGUAGUUUAGUUGAUUCCUUUGGUCCUUGAAAAUUUGAGCGUGGUGAUUAUCUUGGUGGCAGUCCGUACUGAUAUCUGCAGCAGGUCUCCAAGAUGUGAAGCCUUUAGUGUCUAGAUUAAUGUAGGUAAGGGAAGUCGACAAAAUAGUUCUGAAACUUUGGGAGAAGGGAUGGCUCUGAAGGUUGAUCCAGCCAGGUUGACAGUAGAAGUAUUUAUGACAUUGUGUUGUCGCCGGAUGGACUUCGUGUCUGUCUGGAUGAUGACCGAAGUUGUGUUUAUGGACAUUGUUAGCUAUUUCGGUUUAUGCUGAUGUGAGUGGAAAUUAUCAACUACUUCAGAACUGGCAGGAACUGAGGGAAUCCGACUGUCUAAUUAAAACAAAGCAUUGUGAAAUCCAGUAAUUGGUUAUGACACAAUGUGAUUUCUGCCCAGUGCUCUGAAUGUCAAAGUGAAGAGAUUCUUUGAAGCGCGGGUGAACGGCGGGAGUAACUAUGACUCUCUUAUGGUAGCCAAAUGCCUCGUCAUCUAAUUAGUGACGCGCAUGAAUGGAUUAACGAGAUUCCCACUGUCCCUAUCUACUGUCUAGCGAAACCACAGCCAAGGGAACGGGCUUGGACUGAAUGGCGGGGAAAGAAGACCCUGUUGAGCUUGACUGUAGUCUGACUUGGUGAAGAGACAUAGGAGGUGUAGCAUAAGUGGGAGACUCGUCAUCAAUGAAAAACCACUACUCCUAUUGUUUCUUUAAUUACUCAAUGAAGUAAAUAGGGUCAUUCCAUGUUUUAGAAAGAAGCAUAGUAAUUUGUGAGAUUUAUAUUGAGACCAUAGUCAGGUGGGGAGUACGAGAGGAACCGUAGGUUUAGACAAUUGGUUUUGUGUUUGAUUGAAAAAUCAGAGGCACUAAACUACCAUCUAAUGGAUUAUGACUGAACGCCUGUAAGUCAGAAUCCAAUCCGGAGUCCAUAACAUUAGUGUCUGGAAUGUGAAUUGUUUAUUAAAUAGUUGUGUGAGUGCAUAACUGAGCAACAUGAGCAAAUUGAAAUGAAGUAGCGAAUGUCUUCAUAGAGGUUUUUGAUCUUAUUAUGUUCCGGGCACAAGACAAUCUGCAUAUGACUUUUAUCAGUCGAAGUGUUGUAAUUAGUAGAGCAGUUACCAUACUGCGAUCUAAUGAGACGUAUCUUCGUAUUGGGAGUUUGCUGUUUGCGAUGAAAUAAUUGGCUUGUUGCAAUAGCAUAAAAGAGCAUAAAAGAAACAUAACAACCUGUUGCGAUUGUUAGCCAUGGUUCACAACGUAAAGAUUUGAGUAAAUUUAUGGAACUUCCUCCAUAAUCUAAUGGAUUAUGACUGAACGCCUCUAAGUCAGAAUCCAACCCAGAGUCCAUAACAUUAGUGUCUGGAAUGUGUAUUGU
This 1659-nucleotide ribosomal RNA is filed under the name Varroa destructor (honeybee mite). Its description in RNAcentral is "eukaryotic LSU rRNA". The stretch from base 1 to 1447 matches the Rfam family "Eukaryotic large subunit ribosomal RNA", at positions 1345 to 3401 of the family's 3401-position model. The record is from RNAcentral. Lineage: Eukaryota; Metazoa; Arthropoda; Arachnida; Mesostigmata; Varroidae.